Molecule: long non-coding RNA, 339 nt
Organism: Pezoporus occidentalis (night parrot)
Lineage: Eukaryota; Metazoa; Chordata; Aves; Psittaciformes; Psittacidae
Exons: 2
Source: RefSeq, a predicted model, not a curated record
AUUCAGUGGCACCGUUGCUGUCCUUUAAAUAAAGGUCACGUUGCAGGGGCUGGCUCUGCUCGUGUGUGUACCUGGAGGGAAGGCUGGACCAGGAGUUUGGGUUCUGCUAUGACAAACACAUUGGGUGACCCCAUGGGACAGCAACAUGCAGGCGCCUUUAAGCAAAGUUCAAGCAGCUCCUAAAUUAACCAAAGCAAAUCCCCAAAGAUGCAGUGUUUAUGCACUGAAGCAAGAAGGGAGGGCUCUCAUCUCACUGGUCUUGUCAGCCCCUACAGCCCAAGAAGCAAGAGAGAGAAAGUAAGAGCUAUUUACCUUGUGCUAAUAGGGAGCUGGGCAGCU